CAAUAAUAGGAAGCCAAAAACCAGAGAGAUUCUUUUUUUUAAGGGAGCUGUCAAAAUUAGUAGGGACGUUCUGACAUUAGCUCUUGACAAUUUAAAAAUAAUCGGUUUUUUCUAGUGCCAUCUUUCAGUGACAUUGACAGUAUUGUAUUGACACUUGUUGGUUUACAAAUACAAUAAAAUGAAUUCUAAUAAAAGAAACAGUAGACUCAGUAGAGGUACGAGGUACUGAAAAAAUAUUAAUUAAUGGAGAAGCCGAAGUUGGAGGAAAACAAGAAGAUUCGAGGAGAAUGGUGUGGCACUUAAUGCCGCCGGGACAGUAACCUAGCUGCAGCUCCAACUCUAGGGAAUUGGGCUGAAUGAACGCAACACGUGAUCGACAGCCCACCUGCUUCCUGCCGAGCGUCCCUACACUACAUCUACAUGGAUUCGCUUAUUCUGCUCUACAAAACUUCUAAAACAAUACAAAUAAUACAGGAAGAAGAGAUUAAACAACAGGCGGUCUUAUCGCUAAAAAGCGAUCUCUUCCAGACAACCUUACUACUUUUGAGGAGCUGAUACAAGCAGCCAGAAUGAGUCUCUGCUGAGUCGCCGGCGCCGGACGUGCGUCGCGCGCCUCGGGCGACUGACGUCUUCGUGUGAGUCGCCAAUUGCAGGGGAAGAUACGAAUAGUUAGGUAUAAAAGCUACUUUAGUCAACCUCGCCUCAGUACUGUUUGUAUUGACUGAAAUACAAGUAGCAUAUAUGAGACGUUCGGACUUAUCCGUGAAAAUACGAAGGUAAAGGAAAUUGCACUACAUUUUUAGAACCUAUUCACCUGUCAGUAAAAUAUUGAAAAGGAAAGUUCAUGAGUUUUAUUAUUUUCUUUCCUCCAACAGCUUCACAUGGAGCAAAUGUAAACCUUUUAUGUUAAUAAUAUCAGUAAUGUCAAGGUACAACGCUCUUUAGAGCAUAUUGCCAUUCCUUUUACUCGAGUGGCCUGUGGGUUAACUAUACGAAGCGAGCCUACGAUGCAUUAAAAGUGCAGUAUAACAAUGCAUUCAGAAUGCUGUUGGGCUUACCUCGUAGAUGUAGUGCAUCUGGCAUGUUUUGCGAAGCUAGAAGUUUUCUGGCAAUCAUGCGCAAGAAAAUAGUAUCUCUGCUAGGUCGAGUUAGAAGCAGUCCCAAACAUACAUGUUCGAAAAGUAGAACUCCCUUAGUAGGCCAAGCAAUAAGAAGUUAUAGAGGGAAAUGCUAGGAACACAAUUUUUGACUACGUAACUUUGUUUGGACUAGUUAGGAGGUGAACAUAUCAAAAGUCCCCGGCUGUAGCCCCGGUGCUGGGGGGUAGACUAGUUAUAGUCCAAACAAAGUUACGGAGUCAAAAACUGUGUUCCUAGCAUUUCCCUCUACAACGUUUUUUGAGCAUUCAUUUCCUGACCUAUAGAUCGUGUUUCAAUUUAUCGCCUCUCGUUGGCAAUUAAGGUGGUUCGCUUUCCAUACAAAAAAAAACAAUUACAUAAGUACCUAAUAGUGUGUAAUUACUUAAUAUAACGCAAUUGUUUUUUGUAUGGAAAGCGAACCACCUUAACUAUUCGCACAACGUUUUGUAGUUGCAGUAAGUACUUACAUAUGGCCGGUUAAAUUUUCGAAAUAGGUAUGUAUUUACGUACAGUGCUAAUUGCCGCACAUAGAAUAAUUAAAGUUUGAUCAAUCGGAAUAUGUUCCUAAGUCACUUAUUACAUUUCGAAUUAUAAGUCUGUAUUUUACAGCUUUAGAUGUGCAUGACUGCAUAUGCACAUCUAAAGCUGAAAAAUGCUUUCAUGAAAUUAUGGCUAAAUUAUGUUAAUAGGGACAAAUGUAUCAUUUUCAACCAAAUGGGUUCUUAUUAUCUGUUGUCAAUAAGGCGCUAUUUCCAUAAAGCUUCAAUUUGAAAUCAGCCUCGUCGACAACCGACAAUGUUAACCUUUUGGUUGAAAACGUCACAAAUUAUGGCGAUAGAGAAUACAAUGUUCUGUUGCCAGAGUGCAGCACUAGUAAAACCCGUAAACGAGUGAAUUGCAAAAAAGUGUAGGUAACACAAUGGAAUAUUCACAAAAAUAUGAAAGAAUGUAACACAAAAUGAAGAAAAUGUAUGUGUUUUUUUUGUGUUACGUCACACAAAGGACGCCAAAAUCGACGCCGCAAUAUUUUUCACGACGUGUAGAAUAAAAGUGGCGUCGAAUUCAGGAAUCCGCAAAUACUAUGGUAGCCGAUAGCCAAGUAAUUUAUUAAUAGAACAAUGUUAAAACAGUAGUAGAAACGGUGAGCUUUGCAAACUUUUAGUAGAUUGGUUUGGUUUUGGUAGAUUUCUCGGUUUGGCAUGCUUGAUGCUCUUCACAUCACCACAGACGGAGGUCGACAGUUCGAAUCUGUCUUGUUCAACCAAUUGAUGGAGGCACAUGCACGCAUACGAAGUAUACGAACCACAUAUUACACUACCAUCCUGGAGCUAAUUGGAUUAUUUGCAUCUACUAUUAUAGUAUAUACCUAUGCCUUAUUUUUACGCCUAAGACCCUAAGCUUUUAACAAAAACCAUUAUUUCUUUUAUACCUACGGGCGGUUUAGCUCCCGUACCUACCUCUAUUAUACCUAGCCACGUGCUAAAGCAACAAUGUCCUUUAAAUCCGUAUCCCGUAUCGUGAUAGUAUUAAGAUUCAACUCGUCUACAUCGAGGUGGUCGAUCGUCCUAAAUACAUUACCAAAACAUGUUAACUCGUAUGAGCCGUUACAUAGAUUUGAACCUUAAUACUAUCAUGAUAAUUAUUGAUUAAUAUUUUUAAAUAAUUUGUUAAGCAUAUUUACACUUGCAAAUAUACACUUGCAGCAUUCUAAUAUUAUGGUAUGGUAAACAUAUAACAUGUUAUAUAUUCGCGAUUCAUGUCAACAGCCCCGUCGUCAGGCCCCCGCCACCCGCGCCCGCCCCCGCCCGCGCCCC
Molecule: long non-coding RNA, 2953 nt
Organism: Cydia fagiglandana
Lineage: Eukaryota; Metazoa; Arthropoda; Insecta; Lepidoptera; Tortricidae
Exons: 4
Source: RefSeq, a predicted model, not a curated record